This 513-nucleotide ribosomal RNA is filed under the name uncultured bacterium. RNAcentral describes it as "partial 16S ribosomal RNA". It matches the Rfam family "Bacterial small subunit ribosomal RNA", at positions 28 to 523 of the family's 1533-position model. The record is from RNAcentral.
GACGAACGCUGGCGGCGUGCCUAAUACAUGCAAGUCGAGCGGACUAAUGGGAGCUUGCUCCCGUUAGUUAGCGGCGGACGGGUGAGUAACACGUGGGCAACCUACCUGUAAGACUGGGAUAACUUCGGGAGACCGGAGCUAAUACCGGAUGACAUAAAGGAACUCCUGUUCCUUUAUUGAAAGAUGGCUUCGGCUAUCACUUACAGAUGGGCCCGCGGCGCAUUAGCUAGUUGGUGAGGUAACGGCUCACCAAGGCGACGAUGCGUAGCCGACCUGGGGGGGUGAUCUGCCACACUGGGACUGAGACACGGCCCAGACUCCUACGGGAGGCAGCAGUAGGGAAUCUUCCGCAAUGGACGAAAGUCUGACGGAGCAACGCCGCGUGAGCGAUGAAGGCCUUCGGGUCGUAAAGCUCUGUUGUUAGGGAAGAAUAAGUGCUAGUUAAAUAAGCUGGCACCUUGACGGUACCUAACCAGAAAGCCACGGCUAACUACGUGCCAGCCGCCGCCGUAA